CCUACGGGUGGCAGCAGUGGGGAAUAUUGCACAAUGGGGGAAACCCUGAUGCAGCGACGCCGCGUGAGUGAAGAAGUAAUUCGUUAUGGAAAGCUCUAUCAGCAGGGAAGAAAAUGACGGUACCUGAGGAAGAAGCCCCGGCUAACUACGUGCCAGCAGCCGCGGUAAUACGUAGGGGGCAAGCGUUAUCCGGAUUUACUGGGGGUAAAGGGAGCGUAGACGGCAGUGCAAGUCUGGAGUGAAAGGCGGGGGCUCAACCCCCGGACUGCUCUGGAAACUGUACGGCUGGAGUGCAGGAGAGGUAAGUGGAAUUCCUAGUGUAGCGGUGAAAUGCGUAGAUAUUAGGAGGAACACCAGUAGCGAAGGCGGCUUACUGGACUGUAACUGACGUUGAGGCUCGAAAGCGUGGGGAGCAAACAGGAUUAGAUACCCGUGUAGUC
Molecule: ribosomal RNA, 440 nt
Filed under: uncultured bacterium
Lineage: Bacteria
Description: partial 16S ribosomal RNA
Rfam family: Bacterial small subunit ribosomal RNA
Source: RNAcentral